UCUCUUUCUUCUGUUCUUCCGUCGUCGGGAAUGGCGCAUCGGUUGCUUAGAGACGCGCAGGCCGACGGAUGGGAGCGCUCCGACUUCCCCAUCAUCUGCGAAUCGUGCCUCGGUGACAACCCCUAUGUUCGAAUGACAAGGGCAGAUUAUGACAAGGAGUGUAAGAUCUGCACACGGCCAUUUACAGUCUUCAGGUGGAGACCGGGACGUGAUGCAAGAUACAAAAAGACAGAGAUCUGCCAGACAUGCUGUAAGCUGAAAAAUGUGUGCCAGGUCUGCCUCCUGGAUCUUGACUAUGGGUUGCCUGUUCAGGUUCGGGACACUGCCUUGUCGAUCAAUUCCAAUGAUGCAAUCCCAAAGAGCGACGUGAAUAGGGAGUACUUUGCAGAAGAGCAUGACCGCAGGGCUAGAGCUGGCAUUGAUUAUGAGUCUUCAUAUGGAAAGGUGCGUCCAAAUGACACCAUUUUAAAGCUUCAAAGGACAACACCGUAUUACAAAAGGAAUCGCGCACAUGUCUGUAGCUUUUAUGCGCGUGGUGAAUGCACACGUGGUGCUGAAUGUCCGUAUCGGCAUGAGAUGCCUGUUACUGGGGAGUUAUCCCAGCAGAACAUAAAAGAUCGGUAUUAUGGAGUGAAUGACCCAGUCGCUCUGAAGCUCUUAAGCAAGGCAGGUGAGAUGCCAUCUCUGACUCCCCCAGAUGAUGAGAGCAUUAGGACACUGUACGUUGGGGGCCUUGAUGCCCGAAUCACCGAGCAGGAUCUGAGGGAUCACUUCUAUGCCCAUGGUGAGAUUGAGUCGAUCAGGAUGGUGCUCCAAAGAGCUUGUGCCUUUGUGACGUACACAACAAGAGAAGGAGCAGAGAAGGCUGCAGAGGAGCUAGCCAACAAGCUUGUUAUUAAAGGAAUGCGUCUGAAGCUGAUGUGGGGAAGGCCACAGGCCUCCAAACCAGAGGGCGAGGUACCAGAUGAUGAGGCUGCAAGGCAAGGGCUCAUGGCACAUGGAGGGAUGCUUCCAAGGGCUGUUAUAUCCCAGCAACAAAGCAACCAGCAGCCUCAACCACCAGGCACACAGGACCAACAGCAGCCACCACUGCACUACUUCAACAUUCCAGCGCCACCCCCAGCGGAACGAACCUUCUACCCCUCGAUGGAUCCUCAGAGAAUGGGUGCUGUAGUACCGUCCCAGGAAUCUAGUGAUGGCAAAGGGGGUUCAGACAAGCAGCCAGCGCAGCAGCAGGGACUGCUGCGAGCACCAAAUAGCUCAGGGCAAGCAUUCCCUGUUUUGCCGCCACAUCUUCAGGGCCAGUACCCACAGUAUUAUGCACCAUAUGGGUACAUGGCCCCACCAUAUCAGCAGCAGUAUCCUCCUUACCAGUCAAUGAUGGCUCCACCCCCACCUCCGCCUGCACCUCCUGCAGUGCAGCAGUACCCUCCAGGUGCACCUGCAUCGUCUUCUCAGAGUUGAGAUCGUUUUUGAGUGUAUUUCUCCUUUUAGAUUCAUCUGCUCUUUGCUACCCAUUGAAUCAGAGAUAUUGUUGCCAGGCAAUCAGAAGGAGCUUUCCACCGUGAGAGCAAAAAUUCCUGUUUGAUGUGCCGUAGCUCGAAGAGCAUGCAGCCGAACCAUGUUGCAAUUGCACCCGAAUUCCAAGCCGAUUGUGCCAAAUGCGGUGGAUGUUCAGGGUUUGGAUUUUCAAGAUAACAGGUUUCUGAAACGGUAAAAUCCUUGUCUUUCGAUUCGUGCUUGCAGAGCCCGUCCAGGUUUUACAGGUCAUUUGUGAUGGCAGGAUGGAAUUCAUCUGUAUCAGUUUGAUACCACUUUGAAGGAUAGUUUUAGAGAUUCUUCUAUUGUUAGAUUAUACUUCGUG
RNA transcript from Elaeis guineensis (African oil palm), 1864 nucleotides. It is a transcript of the gene named zinc finger CCCH domain-containing protein 40, with no coding region annotated. The record is from RefSeq and is a predicted model, not a curated record. Lineage: Eukaryota; Viridiplantae; Streptophyta; Magnoliopsida; Arecales; Arecaceae.